RNAcentral lists this non-coding RNA (910 nucleotides) under Causus defilippii (snouted night adder). The record is from RNAcentral. Lineage: Eukaryota; Metazoa; Chordata; Lepidosauria; Squamata; Viperidae.
AAGGUCUUGGUCUUAAACCUUUUAUUGUCUAAAACACCUACUUAUACAUGCAAGCCUCUACACUACAGUGAGAUAGCCACACUAUAUAUACGUGAGCAGGUAUCAGUCCCCACAACAACACCAAGCAUAAGCCACACCCCCACGGGUCCACAGCAGUAGUUAAUAUUAGGCUAUAAGUGAAAACUUGACCUAGUAAAGUACCCCCAGAGUCGGUCAAUCCCGUGCCAGCGACCGCGGUUAUACGGCAGACUCAAGACAAUAUUAACGGCGUAAAGAAGAUUAAAAUUAAGUACCUGUUAUAGUAUAGAACCCAGCCAGGCUGUAAAAAGCUAUAAGCUUCAAUAAUAUACUAUACCACCCUACUUCUUUUACUCACAAAAGUUAGGAUAUAAACUAAGAUUAGAUACCUUACUAUACCCAACCACAACCUACAAUUAAAGUACCAAUUGUCCGCCAAACAACUACGAGUCCUAACUUAAAACUUAAAAGACUUGACGGUACUUCACCACCAACCUAGAGGAGCCUGUCUAAUAACCGAUAACCCACGAUUAACCCCACCCUAUCUUGCCCACAGUCUAUAUACCACCGUCACAAGCUUACCUUAUAAAAGAAACAAAGUGAGCUAAAUAGCCUAACACUAAAAUGACAGGUCGAGGUGUAACUUAUGAUAGGGAUAAGAUGGGCUACAUUCUCUAACAGAGGAUACGAACGAUACUAUGAAUAUAGUACCUGAAGGAGGAUUUAGCAGUAAGCCAAGAAUAAAACACUUAACUGAACAUAACGCAAUGAAGUACGUACACACCGCCCGUCACCCCUGCAGUAUAUAUCCUAUACCCUACAUGAACCACACCAUACACUUCCCCAGGGCAAGUCGUAACAUGGUAAGUGUACUGGAAAGUGCACUUAGAAA